GAUGAACGCUGGCGGCGUGCCUAAUACAUGCAAGUCGAGCGAACAGACGAGGAGCUUGCUCCUCUGACGUUAGCGGCGGACGGGUGAGUAACACGUGGAUAACCUACCUAUAAGACUGGGAUAACUUCGGGAAACCGGAGCUAACACCGGAUAAUAUAUUGAACCGUAUGGUUCAAUAGUGAAAGACGGUUUUGCUGUCACUUAUAGAUGGAUCCGCGCCGCAUUAGCUAGUUGGUAAGUUAACGGCUUAUCAAGGGAAGGAUGCGUAGCCGAACGGAGAGGGGGAUCGGCGACACGAGAGGGUAGACGCGGACCAGAGGCCUGCGGGAGGGAGCAGAAGGGAAUCUGACGCAGUAGGCGAGAACAUGGCAGAACAACGCCACGUGAGAGGUGAAGAUCUUCGGUGCGUAAUACUCUGUUAUUAGGGAAGAACAAAUGUGUAAGUAACUGUACACGUCUUGACGGUACCUAAUCAGAAAGCCACGGCUAACUACGUG
This 497-nucleotide ribosomal RNA is filed under the name uncultured bacterium. RNAcentral's name for it is "partial 16S ribosomal RNA". It matches the Rfam family "Bacterial small subunit ribosomal RNA", at positions 28 to 507 of the family's 1533-position model. The record is from RNAcentral.